RNAcentral lists this unclassified non-coding RNA (993 nucleotides) under Hevea brasiliensis (rubber tree). The record is from RNAcentral. Lineage: Eukaryota; Viridiplantae; Streptophyta; Magnoliopsida; Malpighiales; Euphorbiaceae.
UCCUUCAAAGCCACCCUAUGUUAGAGCCCAACCUAAUGGACUCAUAACUGUUAUCUGCUCAUUCUUUUCCAAGUGGGUUUGAGUUAUCAGCUCAAUUUGGCCGCUUUAUGGCCAAAGGCAGGAGGCCAGGAGGCUAACAACGAGUCGCAGUGAAAGGCUACUGGGAAGCUUUGCUUACAGUAAUGGCCAAGACACCACCGUCAACGACUCGUCGGAGCUAGGCGAGGACGAUGUAUGGUCGAUGGUUGAUGAUGCGGCUAAUGGGAAUGACCAGAUUAGCAAUAAUUCUAAGGGAGAGUGGGUUUCGCGCGACGAUGUUGAAAGUAAUGGGAAUAUUUCUAUGAGGAGCCGCCGCCGUAUCCCCCGAGAUGACCACCGCCACCACGUGGGGGGUUUGUCUUUGGCCUUCGAAAAUUCUUCGGGCAAAGCGGCAGCGUCCAGAAUCGUGCACCAGUUCCGUGGACAUGAAAACGUGGCAGCAACAUCUCCUCAUCACAUGGCCACGUCAGCUCCUGUGAACGUGCCGGACUGGAGCCAGAUCCUUCGGGUCGACUCGGUUGAGUCAUUGCCUGAUUCGGAUGACGGCUAUGACGACCGUGAUUCAGAGAUAGUUCCCCCACACGAGUACCUAGCGCGUGAGUACGCUAGGAGCAGGAAAAUGGGCUGCGCCUCUGUCUUUGAGGGCGUCGGAAGGACGCUUAAGGGCCGUGACAUGAGGCGCGUGCGAGAUGCAGUGUGGAGCCAAACAGGGUUCGACGGAUAACCGUUCUACAACCCACACACAAGGAGACUGGUUCUAUUUUAUAUAUUUAUUUUUGUCGGCAAUGAUUCGGAAGAGUUGACUCGGUAUUGGACUGAGUCAACUCGGUAACGAGUGAGCUCAGGCACGAUUCUGCUUGAUGAGGUGCCACUAUUUUUGUCCAAGAUUGGAAUUUAGGAGUUGGAAUUCAUGCCCAGUUUGUUAGUAGUAGUUUUUCAAAAUUUUUUCCAUAU